Nycticebus coucang (slow loris) is the source of this 4029-nucleotide RNA transcript. It is a transcript of the gene named enhancer of rudimentary homolog, with no coding region annotated. The transcript has a single exon. Lineage: Eukaryota; Metazoa; Chordata; Mammalia; Primates; Lorisidae. The record is from RefSeq and is a predicted model, not a curated record.
CCACGGGCUGGGAGGAGUUGGAUCAGCUGCCGCAUCUUGGAGUUGCUUUGCUCCUCCAAGUACCAGGGUUCCGGGAGCAAAUUCUGGGCGCCCAGCGGACGAAGACACUGAAGACUAAGAAAUGAAAACUACCCAAUUGCUAUUUUGGCACAAUUAAUGGAUCUAUAUUCAAAAAUGAGACCCUGCAAAUAGAUCUGAGUAUCUGAGGGUCUCCCACAGUCCUCUCCCCACCCAGAAAUGUUCUGCCAGGCAGUUAAGUGAACCUUACACUGAUGAGGACAGUGACCAGGAGUACAGUGGUCAGAGAGGGAGAGUGGAAGAACAUAUCCUCAGAGAGGCCAUAUUUCUGUCCUGCUGGGGGAGGCUGGAGGAUAUGGCCAGAGUGGGGCCAGGAAACUCCCCCACAGGACCACGGGCAGGGUGAAAAGAUCCUCACCUUUCCAGGUCCACAAGUUCUAGCCCUAACCCUGGCUCUGACCCACGUGUGGUCUGUGGUAUGCAAGGAUAGCUCAAAUGACCCUGAAGUCACACGGUGGUCUGUGGUACAGCCUGCACAAUGUCCUACCUGCCAACUUUCUUCGUUAAAGGCAGAGGCUAUUUCAAAACUAAGAGAUGUGCAGUAAAUUGGCCUCUCGUUGAUUUUGCUUCACUUAAAGGAUAUUACAAGACAUUAAUGAGGCGGCUAAGCUCGUGUAGCGGCGGUGGUGUGGAUUGGAGCUGCAGCGAAGAGUUUGGCGCCAUGUCUCACACCAUUUUGCUGGUAUAGCCUACUAAGAGACCAGAAGGCAGAACUUACGCUGACUAUGAAUCUGUGAAUGAGUGCAUGGAAGGUGUUUGUAAAAUGUAUGAAGAACAUCUGAAGAGAAUGAAUCCCAACAGUCCCUCUAUUACAUAUGAUAUCAGUCAGUUCUUUGAUUUUAUCGAUGACCUGGCAGACCUCAGCUGUCUGGUUUACCGAGCUGAUACCCAGACAUACCAGCCUUAUAACAAAGACUGGAUUAAAGAGAAGAUCUACGUGCUCCUUCGUCGGCAGGCCCAACAGGCCGGGAAAUAAUUAAAUUGGAAACAACAGGGGGGUGGGGGUGGGCUUGGAACACAGGUGUGUACAGCGUGCUGUAGUGGAAGUUUUGUAUUAUAGUAAUCCUGUUUCCAUUUUGUUACACUCUAGCCAAGAUUGAAGAUAUUAGAUGAAAUGUGAGGCUCUUAUUCAAUCUGAAACCCCCAUUGCCCCUACCCUUUUUUUCUUUUUCUGGUUUUUUUUUGUUUGUUUUGUUUUGGUUUUGUUUUUUUACUUAAACAUUUUUAUGAUGAUUUAGAUAAAGUUGUUCUUUGUCAGCUGAUAUUGGUUCCAAUCCUUCAGACUGUUCAUACCUGCUUUAUAACAUUCACUGUACUAACCUGUCUUCAGGAUGGGGUGGGGAUGUGGUUAACAGUUAUGUCAAGAUAAAGUCUUAGUGACAAAUAAAUGUUGUUUAGUUAUAUUUUCUCCCCGAGUGAUUUUUCUUGUCUCCUAACAUUGAAUUUUCUUGCAAAGCUUUAUCAGUUUGAACCAGCAGGAUGCCACACAAAGAACGUGAAGAAAGUUUAUGUAUGUGCUGAACACAUUUUGCUGUGGUUGAUGUAAAGCUAAUAUGCUUUUUCCUCACUUUUCUAGCAUUUGAGUGAACCUUAAUUGUACCUCCUGUUUGUACCUGCUGUUGACGCAAACACUGUGAAAGGCUUUCUGGUGAUGUAGCUUGUCUGCGGCGGCAGCCAGGUUAGUUCCUUUGCUUUGUUGGAAUACUCUUUCUGGGAGGUAUGAUAUUCUUAUGCCCUUCUGAGAUUGAAUAUAGAUACGUACUAUUGAUGGAAGCUACUUGUAUAAGGGUGAGGGGAAGAGCACAAUAAAGUACAAGAUAAGCUUACUGUUAAUGUAGAGAAUGUGGCCAUGUUGUGGUUUCAACAUGUAUUGUACUUCCAGUCAGCAAAUACAUAACACUACCUGAUUCUGCUAUCAUCACUCCACCAGUAGCCAAUAAUAUCUUUUUGUUUACAUAAAACAAAAUUAGUAUUUAUAUGUGGUCAAUAAGUUGAAUUAGUAUUGAUAUGUGCUCAAUAUUUAUAGAACAAUUCCAUUAAAUGUCAUCACUGAAUCAAAAGAUUAUUAAAAUUAAGAUACCUAAAAAAAAAAUUAAUGAUAUGCAAAAACAGAUCAGUAGACCUUAAAUAAGAAAGAGAUUUACAAGUUUAAGGGCAAGGCUGUUGCACUACAGAAAAGUAAUAUUUGUUUUAGAAAUUACUUAACGUUUUGUAGAGAUUGCAGGAGAUGAAGCCAGUAUAUGAAUAAGGUUUCAAACCACCAGGAUAGUGUAGAGUAGGACUUGAGGGUGACAGGCAUACUUCAUCACAUCCCUAUCAGGUCAUAGAGGCCAAAUGGUCCUCUGCCAAAUUGGGGUACUUGGGACUAUGUCCCUGAGGCUGGCAAAAUGCAAUCCAUGUUGCAAGCACUCCCGCUCAUUCAGACCUGGGUAGUACUCCCAGCUCAGAUGCCCCAUAUGUAUCCAGACUCAGGAAACAGCCUCUGCACUCAAAGUGAGUGCACAUGUUGUGGUUUGCAGGGAGGCAAUAGGUCCAUACAUACACGUGCCUGGCCCUAGGAAUAGUUGGAUUCUAAUUACACAUUCAGAGUUUGUCAUUCUGAGUUUUAUACAUGUUAAUCUGGGAAAGAUAAAAUUUAGAGAUCCAAUUGAGAAAAUAAUUUUUUAAGAAAGCUAACACCAAGGAGAAUAAUACUUUUGAAAGCCAUUGAACAGUUAUAUUUUAUUAGUAUUUAUCUAUUUGGUCAUUUCUUUAUUGCAAAAACAGUUGUUGAAAUCCUACCAUAGACUAGGUGCUAUGAAUAAGACAAACCAAGAAGACUGUAGAUUGGCUGCCUAGGACUAGAAGUCAGGUGGGAACCACAGGGAGAGGAGAUAUGGGACAUCUUUUUCUUUUUUUUUUUGGUUUUUGGCCAGGGCUGGGUUUGAACCCACCACCUCCGGCAUAUGGGACCGGCACCCUACUCCUUGAGCCACAGGCGCCGCCCUGGGACAUCUUUUUCUGUGUUCAUACCCUGAGAGGCAGUGGAGAGGAAGAGAAGUUGAGGGCAACAGAAAGAAGUCCAUGCUCAGGCCAGAACUCUGGAGAGCUGGGAAAAUGGGGCCCAGGGCUCCUUCGGGAGGGUGGGAUUCUGCAGGACGGGAAGGACUAGACCAGUGGGCCCUCAAAAGCAGAGUCCACAGCAGCCAAAAGGAUCAUCCCAAUGAAUGAAAUGGGUCUGCACAAAGCAGUGGAGAGCAGGAGGGAUGAGGAAGGCUGCAAAAUGGUCCAAAGCAAGGGAUCAGAGCCAGCUGUGCCACACAGAAAUUCAAUCCCAAUUUUGCCAGACCCGGAUAUACACGUGUUCUUUCAAGACUGCAAAAUGCAGACAAGUUCUAAUUUUUCUAAAAGAAUACUGUGUAGGACAGUCAAAAUAUAUGGGGUCAAGUUAGGCGUAGGGCAUAUAAUGUGACCUCUGAACUGGUUUCCAUUCUAUUCACUGAGACACAUGGCUGUGCAUAACUACAAAAGCACUCAGCAAUGCUGGGUGAAUGAACAAGACGCAGGGCUCAGAAAGAGAUGUCCUUUCCAUCGAGAGCCUCCUAGAGAGUCCUGCUCUAAGGCCCGCAGAAACCAAAGCAAAAACUCUCAAGCACCUUCCUUCACCCUCCAGAAUGCCUGUGAUCCCAGCCACUGUCCGGGUCUCCAGUCAGCCCCUUGGAAGUAGCAGUGAUGGUUGGACAGUCUGGUAGCCAGCAAGAAAUAAGACAAGACACUGAGCCAAGGCGGAGGAGGCUUUACUGGGGAUCAGGAAGGCCUAGUGCUGGGACCACACUGGAAAGCAGGGCCUGCACACCAGGCACUGCUGACCCCAUGCCCUGAUGGGACAACACUGACCAGAAGGACAUCAGGUGGGCUUUAGUGCAGGGAAGGGUAAAGGUGGGAGGGGACACUGCUGGAGGAAAGUGGAGA